RNAcentral lists this ribosomal RNA (301 nucleotides) under uncultured bacterium. RNAcentral describes it as "partial 16S ribosomal RNA". It matches the Rfam family "Bacterial small subunit ribosomal RNA", at positions 509 to 807 of the family's 1533-position model. The record is from RNAcentral.
CAGCAGCCGCGGGAAUACAGAGGGUGCGAGCGUUAAUCGGAUUUACUGGGCGUAAAGCGUGCGUAGGCGGCUUUUUAAGUCGGAUGUGAAAUCCCUGAGCUUAACUUAGGAAUUGCAUUCGAUACUGGGAAGCUAGAGUAUGGGAGAGGAUGGUAGAAUUCCAGGUGUAGCGGUGAAAUGCGUAGAGAUCUGGAGGAAUACCGAUGGCGAAGGCAGCCAUCUGGCCUAAUACUGACGCUGAGGUACGAAAGCAUGGGGAGCAAACAGGAUUAGAGACCCGUGUAGUCCCUGUCUCUUAUAC